RNAcentral lists this long non-coding RNA (4102 nucleotides) under Mytilus galloprovincialis (Mediterranean mussel). Lineage: Eukaryota; Metazoa; Mollusca; Bivalvia; Mytilida; Mytilidae. The record is from RNAcentral.
CACCUUAUAAAAUUGUCGUCAUCCAAUCUAGAUGUCGGGACCGCAAAUUCAUUCAGUGUAAACUUUAGGAGAUUUCGUAUGUAAAUAACACAAAUUUCGUAUAUCUCUUUAUGUUGACUGGGUCAUAAAUUAUGUCAACGGAUUUGAAUUACUAUUUGAUAUAGCUUUCCUGUAUGGAUGAUGAAUAGGAAAAUAUGUGCUAAAUCGUGCAUGUCAGUCUUAAUAUCACAUUUAUUUGUGUAUUCGACGAGUUGUAUUAAAUGUAACCUAUGCAUAACAAGUUGACAACAUUCGCGUUUCAUCUAAUCUUAGAGUCAUAAACUCCCGCCCUUUAAAUGGGACGUUCAUAAGAUUGAUUUGGGUGCAUUCUAUUUUAUUUAGGACAUUUUUCAAUUCAUGACUGUAACUGUCUGGAAAGAGGAUUGACAUUAAAAGGUUGACGACAAAUUUAAAAAGGUAAGUUCCGGGAUAACAAAUAACGAAUAUUAACAUGCAUUUGCUGCUAACAAAGAUUUCAUGAAAUUUCCAAUUAAUUCACAUUACAUCGCUCUGUUAGCAUUGCUUUUAAGUAUUGUGGGGGUAAUGUUUUAGUAUUUUUAUCCGGUCUUCAUUUAUAGUCUUUUUUGCUAGUUAUUAUGCUACAUCGACUUUUUAUAUACUGAGAAAAAAGGGGGGGGGGGGGGGUUAUUCAGGUACUAUGGAUACCAGAUAAAACUUUUUGCCAAAGCAUACACAUAGAAGGUGGUGUUAAUUUUCCAUUACACGGGCUCGUUAGAAGCAUAGUACCCGGUAUGAUAUAUGAUAUUAUUUUAGACAAGAACAACAAGGUACACUAGUUUGAACAUCAAUAUGGUACAGUAAGUUAUACAAGGCCCCGGGGAUGACAUGACUAGAGAGAAGAAAACCAGUAGCCUAAAUUAAGCUCAAUAGAACUUGAUAUGGUCGCCAUACAAAUAAGGACUAUCACUAGAAACAGGAUCAUGGCAUAGCACAGGCUCAUUUAGAAUGCGAUGGGCUCUUUUAAAACAGUAUGUUUAAGAGUGUGCAACCCUCUCCAUAAAUAUAGGAGAGUGGUGCUUCACUACAAAAUUAAAACAAACAUCAGUUGAAAAGGGCUCUACUUAUUAGAUCGAUACAAUUAACAAAAUGAUUACGCAUGUUCUUUUAGAUGCAAAUUAAGACAGUUUGGUAACGGUAGUUCGGAACUUCUUCAAUCCAAUAUUUACAUAAACAUGCAGUUCUGAAUAACAUUUGAUGAUAUGGACUUGUGUAAAAAAAUAAGCUUAUAUAGACUCUUCAACAUUUUUAAAAAGUUUAUUAUAUUUCAUCCAGUUAGUUUUGACCCAAUGGGCCUCAGUAAAACAAAUUCAGGGGAAGUUUGCAUCUAUGUUCACUAUUGAUAUUCUCAUAUGAAAAAUAUAAUUACAGAAACUUGAGGUGACGGUUUAAAUAAUAUAUAUAUUUGUACUUUACAAUGUCUUAAUUAAUGCACAUGACUUUGUAAACUUACAGCUAUUUCCAAUUUGUCAUUCUGUAGUCGGGGAUGGCAACGCAUUGUCUUCGGGACAUAAACAAACGUAAUUUAUGUAAUUUACUUACUUACGAUAAUUUAUGUUUGGUUUAUUUAGUGCAAUAAUGUUCUGAAAAUUUUUUAAAGGUCACUCAUAAUGCGCUAUUUAUAAUGUCUAAAAAAGGAAAACAUGAAACGCAAAAAUACUAUACAGUUACAAUAACCACAUCAGCCGCUGACAUAUAACUUCUCUGACUAAAACAGACACAGAAACAAGGUAUCAAAACAACAAAAAGACAAGUGUCCAUCUUAAUUAAGGUUCUGUGUAACCGCAAAUGAUUCAGAUAGCCCAAUUCGGUACAGACACAAAAGUGUUGUGUUAAACCAGUUUUAAGUGAUCACCGACUUAACCGUUUGCCUAUCUAGACUUAUAAGUUGUAAAUCAAAGAAAGCAAAAAUAUUCAAAGAAUCUAAGAAAUGUUGCUACAGUUAACUGUGGAGAAACAACAAACAGAUAACAAAGUCUUUAGUUUAAAUCGGAGAUGAAUAUGCUAUCAUGAAACUCUCAUGUAGGUCCUGAAUAUAGAUUGGUAUCUAUUGAAUUGUAUCAAUUUCUUAAAUUUUAAAUAUGUGAUUUUCAAAAAUGUAUUCCAAACUUAUGUUUAAGACCCCCUCACGGAACUUUUCAAGUAAUUUGCGUAACAUGUUUUGGUUCUGCCCUUUCAUGAUACAUAUAAAUGCAGAACAAAUAUCUUUGAACUCUUUUUAUUAUUGUGUAUUAAUGGUAUUUUAUCGUUUCUAUACGACAAGAUAAAACUUACACCCAUAUUUUAUUGCCGUUUUUAAUACAUGUAUUGAUUUUGACUAUGUGUGCAAUUCAGGUAGAAAGUUGAAAUUUACUUUUAAAUUAAAGUUUAGAUCGGAUUUAGCAUUCCAACUACAACCAAUUUCAUUUUUUAUCACGUGUUUAAAUCUUCCUGAUAAUGUUAUUUACUUUUAUCAAAUUAAACCUAUAAAUUUAUAGUUUGACAAACAUAGUAAGGCCAUUGUGAAGUGAUCAGUAAACAGCCAAAUUAACCUGGAGACGCCCUCAACACGGAACCUAAUUCAGGACGGAGAUAGUCACUUGUCUUUGCAAAGACAAGAGUCCAAGGUCCGUUUUAUUGAAUAAUUAUAUACGAAUGAUCUUAAUACCGACGCCGGGUACUGACGUCACACGGUCCUUACCGUCUUGAUUGGUUUUGUUUUAGUGUACACUUUUGUACUGACUUGUGAAGCUUUAAAAGUUUAAAUUGAACAUUGCUAAAAGUAAAAUGUGUGCAAACGAUUAAGUAAGGGUUAUAUGAGGCAGAUCUAAUUUUUAUCCUAUUGAAAAGUAAAAUAGAUUAAAAAAAAAAGUACUGAACUCCAAGAAACCCAAAACAAAUGCCGCAAUAUCUCAAUUACACAUCCAAUGAAUGAAUGGACAACAACUGUCAUGUUCUUUACAUGGAACACACGGUACAGCCGAGGGAAUUUAGGGGGAGGGUUAAACCCUGUUACAUUUGUUUGACUGUAUGACUUUCUGUACGCACGAAUGUCCCGAAAUUGAUUGUACACAAUGGUUAUUACGUCAAACCACACAUCAAAUUUGAAUUUUUAUCAUUGUUACCGUUCUAGAGUUAUAGAUAUGGUAAGCUUACCGAUGAGACAACGCUUCAUCGUUUGUUUAUGCGUUACAUAUUUGUUUUUGGUUCAUUUUUUGCACAUAAGGCCGUUAGUUUUCUUGUUUGAAUCGCUUUACAAAUUCAUUUUGGGGCCUUAUAUAGCUGACUAUGAGAUAAAGGCUUUGAUCGUUGUUGAAGGCCGUAAUUUCUGUGUCAUUUUGGUCUCUUGUGGAGAGUUGUCUCAUUGGCAAUCAUAUCACAUCUUCUUUUUUAUAUGUAAUAGUUUGUCCCUUUAUAGCGCUAUAUGCAAGCGGGGCAUCAUCUGUGUCCCAUGGACACAUUCUUCAUUCAUUGAUAUAUUUCUUUUAUGAGUCUAAAAGAUUGUGUAACAAUACCGAUAAAUAGAUGGAAAACAAAACACUAAAAAGUGUUGAAUAUCAUCGCACAAAGAUGGAAAAACUGAACAGAUGAUAUAAAUUAUACAAUAAUUUAGUGUUUUGUUUUCCAUCUAUUUAUCGGUAUUGUUACACAAUCUUUUAGACUCAUAUAUUUUUUCCUGUUUGUGUAGUAUUGUCAACUUUGAUGAUCCAAUACCUAUUAAGUUUACUGGUUGGUAGAUUCUUAUAGACUCUAUAUAUAUAAAGGAAAGUUUUUAAUUGCAAUACAAAUGUAUACUUGUAACAUUUUAAUUGUAUUGACCGUGUAAACGAAUGAUAUAUCAUAUCUUACUCAUUGUUAAUCAGUUAUAAAAGAUUUGUAAAAUGUAAAAUAUUUGCCCGUGGUCUACUUUUUCGAAUGACACAUUUAUUUAUACAUUUACAUUUUUUUUUUUAUCUUCGUUUUGUUCUAGAAUUAAAUUCAAUAUUAUAGAUAUACUAUUUCAUCUUUUUCAGAAGGGAGUUAUCGAUAACGUGAUACAAAGGUCAUUGAAUGCUAUAUUUAAAGA